CCUACGGGAGGCAGCAGUGAGGAAUAUUGGUCAAUGGGCGGGAGCCUGAACCAGCCAAGUCGCGUGAGGGAAGACGGUUCUAUGGAUUGUAAACCUCUUUAGGCGGGGAGCAAUGCCGGGCACGCGUGCCCGGAGGGAGAGUACCCGCAGAAUAAGCAUCGGCUAACUCCGUGCCAGCAGCCGCGGUAAUACGGAGGAUGCGAGGGUUAUCCGGAUUGAUUGGGUUUAAAGGGUGCGUAGGCGGAUUUUUAAGUCAGCGGUAAAUUGUCCGGGCUCAACCCGGGCCGGCCGUUGAAACUGGGGAUCUAGAGUGGGCGAGAAGUAGGCGGAAUGCGUGGUGUAGCGGUGAAAUGCAUAGAGAUCACACAGAACUCCGAUUGCGAAGGCAGCAUACCGGCGCCCGACUGACGCUGAGGCACGAAAGCGUGGGGAUCGAACAGGAUUAGAUACCCCAGUAGUC
RNAcentral lists this ribosomal RNA (460 nucleotides) under uncultured bacterium. Its description in RNAcentral is "partial 16S ribosomal RNA". It matches the Rfam family "Bacterial small subunit ribosomal RNA", at positions 338 to 795 of the family's 1533-position model. The record is from RNAcentral.